RNAcentral lists this ribosomal RNA (498 nucleotides) under uncultured bacterium. RNAcentral describes it as "partial 16S ribosomal RNA". It matches the Rfam family "Bacterial small subunit ribosomal RNA", at positions 30 to 523 of the family's 1533-position model. The record is from RNAcentral.
AUUGAACGCUGGCGGCAUGCCUUACACAUGCAAGUCGAACGGUAACAGGUCUUCGGAUGCUGACGAGUGGCGAACGGGUGAGUAAUACAUCGGAACGUGCCCGAUCGUGGGGGAUAACGGAGCGAAAGCUUUGCUAAUACCGCAUACGAUCUACGGAUGAAAGCAGGGGACCGCAAGGCCUUGCGCGGACGGAGCGGCCGAUGGCAGAUUAGGUAGUUGGUGGGAUAAAAGCUUACCAAGCCGACGAUCUGUAGCUGGUCUGAGAGGACGACCAGCCACACUGGGACUGAGACACGGCCCAGACUCCUACGGGAGGCAGCAGUGGGGAAUUUUGGACAAUGGGCGAAAGCCUGAUCCAGCCAUGCCGCGUGCAGGAUGAAGGCCUUCGGGUUGUAAACUGCUUUUGUACGGAACGAAAAGCCUCUUUCUAAUAAAGAGAGGUCAUGACGGUACCGUAAGAAUAAGCACCGGCUAACUACGUGCCAGCCGCCGCAGUAA